Molecule: ribosomal RNA, 198 nt
Filed under: uncultured bacterium
Lineage: Bacteria
Description: partial 16S ribosomal RNA
Rfam family: Bacterial small subunit ribosomal RNA
Source: RNAcentral
ACGCUCGACACCUACGGUAGGCAGCAGUGGGGAAUAUUGCACAAUGGGGGAAACCCUGAUGCAGCGACGCCGCGUGAGUGAAGAAGUAUUUCGGUAUGUAAAGCUCUAUCAGCAGGGAAGAAAAUGACGGUACCUGACUAAGAAGCCCCGGCUAACUACGUGCCAACAGCCGCGGUAAUCUGAGCGGGCUGGCAAGGC